Tribolium castaneum (red flour beetle) is the source of this 630-nucleotide long non-coding RNA. RefSeq lists it as uncharacterized. The record is from RefSeq and is a predicted model, not a curated record. NCBI's taxonomy places the organism in Eukaryota, Metazoa, Arthropoda, Insecta, Coleoptera, Tenebrionidae. The transcript has 2 exons.
AUUCAUUUCGAUAUCUUUGACAGUGUAGGUGCAAUGGAGCACGCCCGCAUCAAUGACUCACCCUGUAUUUCUUGGCACUAAAUGUUAUAUUUUUUAUCGGUAACACAUUUUAUCAAAAUAAUAAUAUUAUUAAUUUUAUGAUAUAAAUUAAAGUUGAUUCAAAUCCAAAUAAUUUCCAAUAAAAUUGUCAAUUAUUACGCUUUAAAUCGUCAAUUUACAUUUAUAAGCUUGUAAUUGAGUUCCAAUUUAUCCAAUGUCCAUUUCAAAUUGCAAUUAAUUGUCGUGAAAUUGACUAAAUUGAGCUUCAAAACGUUUCGAAUGUUUUGGAGUUGCCUACCACUGGUGUGUGCACUUUGUUCCCACCAUGGAAGAUUCUAGAAAAUCGAAAUAAGUUGUUUCAAAAAUGGGUCAAAUAUGGGCGAGUAGGACACCACCCCACAUGAUGCUUCUGCGUGCUCCCUUCAUCGACGACUAGAGUAUUGGUUUUUAAAUGGGUCACGACGCAAAAGUUAUUAAAAAAAACAGUUUUGUAAAUUGUAUCUUUCUAUAAUUAAAAAAAAAUAUAAUAAUAAAUAAAAUCGGCGACUCUUAAAAUAAAUUGUUUUAAAUAAAUAAAAAUCUAGCAAGUAA